UAACUGUGGGUGGUCUUCUUUUGUCCAAUUUCUGUAAAUUUGGUACAUAAUUUUCUAGUUAUGCAGCUGAUUCUUGUGUUUAUGUGAAUGGCUAUUUAAAAAAAGGAAAGAUCAGAUGUUUGUUGUUUCAUUUCAACAUAAAUCAAACUUUGUACUCACAUAGCAAUUCUAGUUUAGUCCCAGGAAUAGCUUUAGUAUUGCUAAGUGUCUGGAGAGUAUUGACUACAGAGACAUGAUUUUAAGCAGGCUAUAAUAGUUUCUACAGCUGUUAACAGUUCUCAGAAGAAAGGCAGUAUUAUUCAUCGGUAUUUAAAAUGUGCAUGACUUGCAUUGCACAGAAGUCAAAUUGGGAGAAUGUCAGAAUUUUUUUUUCUGAAAUUCUGCCAGGAAAGUCUUCAAUAACUGGAGAAAUUCUUUUCACUGGUGAAAUCAACAUGCAGCACAUUGUGUUAUUAUACUUGCUUAUAGCUCACCAUGAAAGUUGUCUUUGUAUGCGUGGAUGUACGGCUUGUACUGUUUUGUUUUUAUUUAUUCUGCAUUCUUUAUUAUAAUGUUCUUUCCUUUUUUUCCAGACCAGAAAGAUUGUUAUUGAGCCUUCUACAAAGCUGAAAUAAUGCUGUGUGUUAAAAAAAUGUUAACAAUUCUAAGAAGUUAUAAAAAUUUAUAAGUUGACUGAAUACUUUGGAAAUUUCUGCAUAUUUUAAUAUAAAUAGGUGCUGGCAGCACAGGGAGCUGAGAGCAGUGGAAGUCCAGAGGUCCAGGGCACCAGAGGAGGUCACCAGGAGCUGUCAUGCCUUAUAGGCCCUGCAAGAAAGAGAAAGGAAAAAUGAUUCAUUGUUUGAUGCAAGCCUCUGUAGCCUUUGGACCAGCUCUCUUGUUCUGCAGCACAGGUUCAUUCCCUUUGUGCUGCAGCUCUUGGUCACCCCAUCCAGCAUGGACAAAAAGGCUGCACAGCAUUCAGAAGUACUGAUCUAGUUGACUACAUGGAUUUGUAACCAGCAGCUCAGCAGCUCCUUCAUGAACCAUCCUUCCAGGAGGGAAACAUCACAAAGAUGGAUUCCUUUAGCAAGGAAGAUAUGACAGGUUGUGAUAUUGGACUGCAGUGAAGUUCCACCAGUGCUUUUCUACCCUCCAUGAGUGAGCGCUGCUGGGCUGUGCAGCUGGCAAGCUCAUGCCCUUUUUUUGGGAGUAGGCUGAAUCAAGCCUCUGUCAAGAACCACUGCUGAAAUACUGAAUUAACAUAGCCAAGACCAGCACAUCAGGAGGAUAGCCUUCUACCCAGAAUAGUGUGGAGGUAUACCUUGUUCACAGAAGCUCUGGAAACAUCGUGAGACUUGGACAGACACAGUGCAUCCUCAGAAGGCAGAGCUGUUGUUGUUCUGAGCACUGCACACUCUGUGUUCAUGACUAAUGGAAAUAAUGCCCAGUUUUGGAGGGGCUUGGUGGUAUGGGAGACAGUCACAGCAGCUCUAAUAGAAUGGUUUAUCACUUUCUUGUGGAGCCAGGUGCAACUUCUGUUCUCUUUUGCACCCACAAAUCUGGUAUAAUGUUAAUUAGAUUGUCAUUAGGUUUCAUUAGUGAAGAUCCAUAAAACAAAAAAAAAAAAAAAAAAAAGGAAAUGUUCCAUAGUCAUGCUAAAACUUGGUAUGUCAUUUAUACGAAGGGGGCGAACAGAGAUCGGUAGCCAUGAAACACUGCUUUUCCAGAAAUAUGAAAUAUUUAGGUAAAAUAUCUAGGUAAAAUCAAACAGAAAUUUAAUUGCUGCCUGGUAAAAUGGUGUCUCUUCCCUUCUAAAUAGGUUUGAUCAUCUCCUUAGUGCAAACCCUGCACCUUCACCUAGAUUCUUUCCCAGGCAGCUACAGUGGAUCUUCUCACCAAGGGAAUUUGUCCCACUGGAUUCCUUUUAUUUUUUUUUCUGUGCAGUUGAAUGAAAAGUGUGUGUCUUUUGAAGAACAGCAACUGAAAGAAAUAUUGAUGACUGCCAGGGCAUCUGCAGAAAAAGAUAAGAAAAUUACUCUACUACAACAGUGAAAACAAAGGGGCUUUGUUAACACGUUCUUGUAGGUUGUAUAUAUUAAUAGUAACAAGUAAAGUUUUGUAUUUUUUCAGAGAAACACACAAGGCCUUGAAUUGUAUUGUUUUAAUUGCAACUAACUGAAUGAAUUAAGUGGAAAAUCUCACACAGUACUUUGAUUGUCUAAUUCUCUGUAUGUGAGGCUUUGGGAACAGUUUGUUAUUAUAAAAGAACAGCACUAACCAGAAAUCAGCCAACAUGUAAUUGCUAGGCUAAGGGGCAGUUUGGGGAAAGCUGAUGCUUAUUUAUACAUUAUUAAAUAAAAGCACAUAAUAUGAGGA
This is a long non-coding RNA of Serinus canaria (Common canary), 2355 nucleotides long. RefSeq lists it as uncharacterized. The record is from RefSeq and is a predicted model, not a curated record. The transcript has 6 exons. Lineage: Eukaryota; Metazoa; Chordata; Aves; Passeriformes; Fringillidae.